CAGUCAUGCCGGUGGGGAAAUCAGCUCCCGGGGUAACCAGGGAAGUGCACUUUCUCGCAAGGCAGGUUAGCGUCAGUUUUCGCCAGUCGUAAAAAGUCCGUCGGAAGGUAGCUCUAUUCGGAGUGUUAUAGCCAGCGGUCAAUGCGACGUGCGGGAUUGAGGAUCGCAGCGGGUGCUCUUCGGGGCUAAGUGCCUGGCCCCUUG
RNAcentral lists this ribosomal RNA (204 nucleotides) under uncultured Glomeromycotina. RNAcentral's name for it is "partial large subunit ribosomal RNA". The record is from RNAcentral. Lineage: Eukaryota; Fungi; Glomeromycota.